Molecule: unclassified non-coding RNA, 306 nt
Filed under: plant metagenome
Description: partial contains 5.8S ribosomal RNA, internal transcribed spacer 2, and large subunit ribosomal RNA
Rfam family: 5.8S ribosomal RNA (bases 1-105)
Source: RNAcentral
GAAAUGCGAUAAGUAAUGUGAAUUGCAGAAUUCAGUGAAUCAUCGAAUCUUUGAACGCACAUUGCGCCCGCCAGUAUUCUGGUGGGCAUGCCUGUCCGAGCGUCAUUUCAACCAUCAAGCCCCCGGGCUUGUGUUGGGGACCUGCGGCUGCCCGCAGGCCCUGAAAACCAGUGGCGGGCUCGCUGUCGCACCGAGCGUAGUAGCAAUCACCUCGCUCAGGGCGUGCUGCGGGUUCCGGCCGUUAAACAGCCUUACAAAACCCAAGGUUGACCUCGGAUCAGGUAGGAAGACCCGCUGAACUUAAGC